Molecule: ribosomal RNA, 253 nt
Filed under: uncultured bacterium
Lineage: Bacteria
Description: partial 16S ribosomal RNA
Rfam family: Bacterial small subunit ribosomal RNA
Source: RNAcentral
UACGUAGGGUGGGAGCGUUAAUCGGAAUUACUGGGCGUAAAGCGUGCGCAGGCGGUUUUGUAAGCCAGAUGUGAAAUCCCCGGGCUUAACCUGGGAACUGCAUUUGGGACUGCAAGGCUUGAGUACGGCAGAGGGGGGUAGAAUUCCUGGUGUAGCAGUGAAAUGCGUAGAUAUCAGGAGGAAUACCGAUGGCGAAGGCAGCCCCCUGGGUCGAUACUGACGCUCAUGCACGAAAGCGUGGGGAGCAAACAGG